GAUGAACGCUGGCGGCGUGCCUAAUACAUGAAAGUCGAGCGAACGGACGAGAAGCUUGCUUCUCUGAUGUUAGCGGCGGACGGGUGAGUAACACGUGGAUAACCUACCUAUAAGACUGGGAUAACUUCGGGAAACCGGAGCUAAUACCGGAUAAUAUUUUGAACCGCAUGGUUCAAAAGUGAAAGACGGUCUUGCUGCCACUUAUAGAUGGAUCCGCGCUGCAUUAGCUAGUUGGUAAGGUAACGGCUUACCAAGGCAACGAUGCAUAGCCGACCUGAGAGGGUGAUCGGCCACACUGGAACUGAGACACGGUCCAGACUCCUACGGGAGGCAGCAGUAGGGAAUCUUCCGCAAUGGGCGAAAGCCUGACGGAGCAACGCCGCGUGAGUGAUGAAGGUCUUCGGAUCGUAAAACUCUGUUAUUAGGGAAGAACAUAUGUGUAAGUAACUGUGCACAUCUUGACGGUACCUAAUCAGAAAGCCACGGCUAACUACGUG
This 497-nucleotide ribosomal RNA is filed under the name uncultured bacterium. RNAcentral's name for it is "partial 16S ribosomal RNA". It matches the Rfam family "Bacterial small subunit ribosomal RNA", at positions 28 to 507 of the family's 1533-position model. The record is from RNAcentral.